Molecule: ribosomal RNA, 387 nt
Filed under: uncultured bacterium
Lineage: Bacteria
Description: bacterial SSU rRNA
Rfam family: Bacterial small subunit ribosomal RNA
Source: RNAcentral
AUUGAACGCUGGCGGCAUGCCUUACACAUGCAAGUCGAACGGCAGCGCGGGGCAACCUGGCGGCGAGUGGCGAACGGGUGAGUAAUAUAUCGGAACAUACCCUAGAGUGGGGAUAACGUAGCGAAAGUUACGCUAAUACCGCAUACGCACUAAGGUGGAAAGUGGGGGAUUCGCAAGAACCUCAUGCUCAUGGAGUGGCCGAUAUCUGAUUAGCUAGUUGGUGAGGUAAAGGCUCACCAAGGCGACGAUCAGUAGCUGGUUUGAGAGAACGACCAGCCACACUGGAACUGAGACGCGGUCCAGACUCCUACGGGAGGCAGCAGUGGGGAAUUUUGGGACAAUGGGGGGCAACCCUGAUCCAGCAAUGCCGCGUGAGUGAAGAAGGCC